Molecule: ribosomal RNA, 359 nt
Filed under: Streptococcus agalactiae
Lineage: Bacteria; Bacillati; Bacillota; Bacilli; Lactobacillales; Streptococcaceae
Description: bacterial SSU rRNA
Rfam family: Bacterial small subunit ribosomal RNA
Source: RNAcentral
GACUGAUGAGUUGCGAACGGGUGAGUAACGCGUAGGUAACCUGCCUCAUAGCGGGGGAUAACUAUUGGAAACGAUAGCUAAUACCGCAUAAGAGUAAUUAACACAUGUUAGUUAUUUAAAAGGAGCAAUUGCUUCACUGUGAGAUGGACCUGCGUUGUAUUAGCUAGUUGGUGAGGUAAAGGCUCACCAAGGCGACGAUACAUAGCCGACCUGAGAGGGUGAUCGGCCACACUGGGACUGAGACACGGCCCAGACUCCUACGGGAGGCAGCAGUAGGGAAUCUUCGGCAAUGGACGGAAGUCUGACCGAGCAACGCCGCGUGAGUGAAGAAGGUUUUCGGAUCGUAAUGCUCUCUUGUU